UGCCGGGUGGUGUAAUGGCAGCACAGGGGUCUUUGGAGCCCUUAGUUCAGGUUCGAGUCCUGGCCUGGCAG
Molecule: transfer RNA, 71 nt
Filed under: Armatimonadota bacterium
Lineage: Bacteria; Bacillati; Armatimonadota
Description: tRNA-Gln
Rfam family: tRNA
About the family: Transfer RNA (tRNA) molecules are approximately 80 nucleotides in length.
Source: RNAcentral